Molecule: long non-coding RNA, 900 nt
Organism: Artibeus jamaicensis (Jamaican fruit-eating bat)
Lineage: Eukaryota; Metazoa; Chordata; Mammalia; Chiroptera; Phyllostomidae
Exons: 3
Source: RefSeq, a predicted model, not a curated record
CGGACAGCCCAGAGGGCGGGGCUCGCCCACGUCCGGUGUUGACUUGGGUGAUAGUCUGCUCAUCAAAAAUUUGCGGAAGAGGCUGAAAUAAAUCCUAAAGAAAAAAGUUCUGAGAUCUCAUCUGGUUGAGAAUCUUGGUGCCUUAAUCUGUGGGAUAUCUGAAGCUCAUAAACGAAGAUAUGGCAGCGGCUCAAGAUCCUUGCGAACAUCGAACGGGAUUAUGUAUGCGAGACUAUUCUUAAGGACCAUACAAGUUUUCUUUAUCAUCAGCUGCACUACUAGCCCCCUAUGGAAAAGCUCAGGGUCCUUGAAAAUGAAAACGACGUCGAGUAUGGUGUGGUCGAAGUGUCAGUAGUAAACUGGGAAGCAAAUGGGAGAUCUGGGAGUGGUCUGUUAUGUCAAUGUAAUGGGCACCAACUUCCCUUUGUACCUGCUGAGUAGCCUUUAAAAAUAUCAUUCUGUAAUGAAAACCAUAGGUAAUAUAACCCAUCUACACAAUUAAAAAAACAACAACAACAUCCCAGUUGUAAAAGAAGAAUUGCAAAAUAGCAAAAUAAUAUAUAUACACACACCGUAUUUUUCAGACUAUAAGAUGCACUCUCCCAAAUUUGGGAGAAAAGCGGGGUGCGUCUUAUAGUCUGAAUGUAGCUUUACAUUUACAUUGGUGGAAUAUUUAUAUUAUUAAGUAUUUUACUACAUUUUUUGCUUCAAAAAUUUUUUCCUAUUUUCCUCUAAAACCUUAUGGUCUUAAAUGGUCCUUACAGUCCUAGGUGCAUCUUACAGUCCAAAAAAUAGUAAUUCAAAAUGUAAAAGUUGAAACAUGUCUACAGUAGAAAAUACAAAGUGUCAUUUGCUUGUGUGCAUAAACAAUGACUAUAAAUAUAAAAGCUACAAUUACAA